Molecule: ribosomal RNA, 468 nt
Filed under: uncultured bacterium
Lineage: Bacteria
Description: partial 16S ribosomal RNA
Rfam family: Bacterial small subunit ribosomal RNA
Source: RNAcentral
GACGAACGCUGGCGGCGUGCUUAACACAUGCAAGUCGAACGGAAAGGCCCUGCUUUUGUGGGGUGCUCGAGUGGCGAACGGGUGAGUAACACGUGAGUAACCUGCCCUUGACUUUGGGAUAACUUCAGGAAACUGGGGCUAAUACCGGCUAGGAGCUCCUGCUGCAUGGUGGGGGUUGGAAAGUUUCGGCGGUUGGGGAUGGACUCGCGGCUUAUCAGCUUGUUGGUGGGGUAGUGGCUUACCAAGGCUUUAACGGGUAGCCGGCCUGAGAGGGUGACCGGCCACAUUGGGACUGAGAUACGGCCCAGACUCCUACGGGAGGCAGCAGUGGGGAAUAUUGCACAAUGGGCGGAAGCCUGAUGCAGCAACGCCGCGUGCGGGAUGACGGCCUUCGGGUUGUAAACCGCUUUCGCCUGUGACGAAGCGUGAGUGACGGUAAUGGGUAAAGAAGCACCGGCUAACUACGUG